This 75-nucleotide transfer RNA is filed under the name Candidatus Terraquivivens tikiterensis. Its description in RNAcentral is "Aigarchaeota archaeon NZ13_MG1 tRNA-Leu". It matches the Rfam family "tRNA". From Rfam's summary of the family: Transfer RNA (tRNA) molecules are approximately 80 nucleotides in length. Their secondary structure includes four short double-helical elements and three loops (D, anti-codon, and T loops). Further hydrogen bonds mediate the characteristic L-shaped molecular structure. tRNAs have two regions of fundamental functional importance: the anti-codon, which is responsible for specific mRNA codon recognition, and the 3' end, to which the tRNAs corresponding amino acid is attached (by aminoacyl-tRNA synthetases). tRNAs cope with the degeneracy of the genetic code in two manners: having more than one tRNA (with a specific anti-codon) for a particular amino acid; and 'wobble' base-pairing, i.e. permitting non-standard base-pairing at the 3rd anti-codon position. Lineage: Archaea; Thermoproteati; Nitrososphaerota; Candidatus Wolframiiraptoraceae. The record is from RNAcentral.
GGGGCCGUGGUCUAGCAUGGUCUAUGACCUCGCAGUAAACGCUGGAAAUCCUGGGUUCGAAUCCCAGCGGCCCCA